Molecule: ribosomal RNA, 431 nt
Filed under: uncultured bacterium
Lineage: Bacteria
Description: partial 16S ribosomal RNA
Rfam family: Bacterial small subunit ribosomal RNA
Source: RNAcentral
AACGAACGCUGGCGGCAGGCCUAACACAUGCAAGUCGAGCGCGCCUUCGGGUGCGCGGCGGACGGGUGAGUAACGCGUGGGAAUAUGCCCUUCUCUACGGAAUAGUCCUGGGAGACUGGGGGUAAUACCGUAUACGCCCUUUGGGGGAAAGAUUUAUCGGGGAAGGAUUAGCCCGCGUUGGAUUAGGUAGUUGGUGGGGUAAUGGCCUACCAAGCCGACGAUCCAUAGCUGGUUUGAGAGGAUGAUCAGCCACACUGGGACUGAGACACGGCCCAGACUCCUACGGGAGGAAGCAGUGGGGAAUCUUAGACAAUGGGGGCAAGCAUGAUCUAGCCAUGCCGCGUGAGUGAUGAAGGCCUUAGGGUUGUAAAGCUCUUUCAGCUGGGAAGAUAAUGACGGUACCAGCAGAAGAAGCCCCGGCUAACUCCGUG